Phacochoerus africanus (Common warthog) is the source of this 3024-nucleotide RNA transcript. It is a transcript of the gene named zinc finger FYVE-type containing 27, with no coding region annotated. The record is from RefSeq and is a predicted model, not a curated record. NCBI's taxonomy places the organism in Eukaryota, Metazoa, Chordata, Mammalia, Artiodactyla, Suidae. The transcript has 13 exons.
ACGCCGCCGCAGGGCAGCGCGUCCCGGAAGCGGCGGCGGUGGGGGAGGCGGAGGAAGUUCACGGUCUUGAGACUUCAAAGCGGCCUGGGGAAGAGGCACCUUGUCGGGGUGGGGCGAGCCUGAGGAAACGGCCCAGGGUCCGGUCGCCCUAUCAGUGCCUCCUCGCCGUCCCCGCCCCUCCCCCACCAACCCAGCGACCGAGUAGGAUGCAGACCUCAGAGCGUGAGGUGUAUGGGCUGGAGGUGAGCCCCAGCGUGAAUCCUGAGGCUUCGCUGGAGUCUCAACCUGCUCCUGCCAAGUCCCCAGCAUUUGAUCUUUUCAACUUGGUCGUGUCCUAUAAGAGGCUGGAGAUCUACUUGGAACCCUUGAAAGAUGCUGGUGAUGGUGUCCGGUAUUUGCUCAGGUGGCAGACGCCAUUGUGUUCCUUGUUGACCUGCCUGGGCCUCAACAUCUUGUUCCUCACCUUGAACGAGGGUGCAUGGUACUCGGUGGGCGCCCUGAUGAUUUCAGUGCCCGCCCUGCUGGGCUACCUGCAGGAGGUCUGCCGGGCACGGCUGCCCGAGUCUGAGCUGAUGCGGAGGAAGUACCAUAGCGUGAGGCAGGAGGACCUGCAGAGAGUGCGCCUGUCCCGUCCCGAGGCCGUGGCUGAGGUGAAGAGCUUCCUGAUCCAACUGGAGGCCUUCCUGAGCCGCCUGUGCUGCACCUGUGAAGCCGCCUACCGCGUGCUGCAUUGGGAGAACCCCACCGUGUCUUCUCAGUUCUAUGGGGCUCUUCUGGGCACGGUUUGCAUGCUAUAUCUGCUGCCGCUGUGCUGGGUCCUUGCCCUGUUAAACAGCACGCUCUUCCUGGGGAAUGUGGAGUUCUUCCGAGUGGUGUCUGAGUAUCGGGCAUCUCUGCAGCGACGCAUGAACCCCAAGCAGGAAGAGAGUGCCUUCGAGAGCCCCUCACCGCCAGAUGCUGGGGGGAAGGGCACACUGCCGGACUGCACACCUGCACCCACGCCCACAGAGGACCUCACACCGGGCAGUGUGGAGGAGGCCGAGGAGGCCGAGCCCGACGAGGAGUUUAAAGAUGCGAUUGAGGAGGAUGACGAGGGGACCCCGUGCCCGGCAGAGGACGAGCUGGCCCUACAGGACAACGGGUUCCUGAGCAAGAAUGAGGUUCUGCGCAACAAGGUGUCGAGGCUCACGGAGCGGCUUCGCAAGCGGUACCCGACCAACAACUUCGCCCUCCGUUUUUCAGGACUGCUUGCCGUCCCUUCCUUGAGGUGUUCUCAGGCUCUGGGCUGUGAGGGCAGAUGCAGCAGCUCUGCCCUUGGGUCUGCCUCCCGCAGGCCGAGGGAGCUGUACAGGCUGCUCGGCCACCUUCUCGGUGCUGAAGAAGCGGCGGAACUGCAGUAACUGUGGAAACAGCUUCUGCUCUCGGUGCUGCUCCUUCAAGGUGCCCAGGUCCUCCAUGGGGGCCACAGCCCCCGAAGCCCAGAGAGAGACUGUGUUUGUGUGUGCCUCGUGUAACCAGACCUUGAGCAAGUGAGAAGAGGGGUCAGGGUCCGAGCGGGCGCCUGUCCCUGGGGCCAGCAGUAGACCCCACUCUCCCCCCCACCCUUAGCCCCACGCGGUGUGUGCUGGGCACAUGUGGCCCGAAUGCUAGGUAGGCUUCCCCUUCCCGCCCUCGCUGUCUCCAGCCGGGGUCUGGAGCGGGUCUCCACUCCCGCGGGUGGCUGGGAACGGUUGCUCUCAAAUCAUGUUUGCCCUGCUCUGCCCUGGGCUGUUAGUGGGUCAGGGCUGGGCAGGGAAUGUAAGCUAGAGGGCGGCAGGGAGCCAGGCCCAGUCUCCACGGGAAUGGUGGCGUCUCACAUGCCUGGGAGCUCUAGGAGACCAGAGGUCAGCGAUUGGGAAAAGAGGCUCUCCUCCCGCUGGGUGCUGGGCCAGCCCCUUGCCCUUUGAGAGCCAAUUCAAAGAAGGAGUUGCGCCCAGCCCCACGUGUGCUCUUUGCGUGUCCCUCCAGGCAUCAGGUUCUCAUCAUUUCCCCAGCACAGGGUGUGGCCAGGGCUGAGCAGACCAAAAGCACCUCAAGAAACAGGGUCGAAAGUCUCAGGUUCCCGCAGAGGAGGAUGUGUCUAGGAAGGCCUGGCAGAAUCCUUCAGCAUUAAGGGGAGCAAAACACGGGAGCCCCUGCAACUCACAGGGCCUCAGCCCACGUAUUACCCUGGUGUUUUCAGCCGGGCCAGGUAGCCGCUGGGCACUCAGAUGCCCCUGUUCAGAGGCAUCCUCCCAUCCUCAGGCUACGAUUCCCCUCCCUGGCCCCUCAUCCUGUGGAGUCUGAGACCAGGCGGGCUGAGAAGAGGUCCUGAAGCCCUCGCCCUUUGGAGGCCUGGGAAGUGUAGGAUCUCGCCUGGCUGGGUCUCAGCUUCCAGGGCUGUUCACCAGCAGAACAGUCUGAGUUACGGGACAAGGCCCCUUGGGGUCAGCCCUCCCCUCUUUCUGACAGUUUCCUGUUCACUUCUGGACUUGGCGGGGCUCAGUGGCUCUCCCUAAGCCGUGAGCAGGCUCAGGCACCCUUUUCUUCCCCAGGAGCUGCUCUGCCUUUUGGAAUUAUUUAUUUAUUUAUUUCAUGGUUCCUGGGAACAUGUGGCAUAAGGAAUGGGAUGAGGAGGGUGGGGGCUUCUCCGGCCCUGGGACCUUUCCCUGGAGUCAUGGGCUGCCUGGGACUCGGAACCCUGGGAGACAGAGACGUUUGUGUAUGCAAAGCAGGGACCUGAGGGGGCAGGUUGAGGGAGAAAAGGACCCUCCUAGGCCAGCUUUCUCUCCAGACCAACCAGUCUAGGAGGCGGGGGCCUGCUCCAGGCCAGGGGGGCGAGUCCCUGGGGAACCAGGCAGGCCUUGGUGGACCCCCUUCCCCGGGCUCCUUUGUCCUGUUGAAGAGAUGAGCGUUAGGUACCUGGGUUUUAUUUACACUGGAAAGGAACUAAAAGGAUGUCUGUGUAUGUGGAGAAUUGUCAAUAAAAAGGCCUCAAGCUUCGUA